Molecule: long non-coding RNA, 394 nt
Organism: Colossoma macropomum (tambaqui)
Lineage: Eukaryota; Metazoa; Chordata; Actinopteri; Characiformes; Serrasalmidae
Exons: 4
Source: RefSeq, a predicted model, not a curated record
AGCGCCCGAGCUCGAAAACGAAACCUAAGGCGGCUUUUAAGCGCAGCGGCAGCUAAAGCCCCAUCAGAACAGCAGAGGCAGGAUGUGUUAAACCGGUCGACACCCCGGUGAGAAGCUGCGGACUGUUAUUCGCCACAUCGCUGAAACCUCGUCUUCAUCUCGUGGAAGCAGUGCAGAAGAAGGCUGUGUUGAAGCAUGGAAAACAGACAAAGAGGAGGUGGCAAUGAACAACCGAGAAGAGAGCCUGGUCAAAGACGGGAAAAUGGGAUGCCUAACCAGGAAAGAGAGAGAGAUGGCAUAGGCAGAAGAGGAGGUGCAGGGGAGGGAGCAGGUAGAGGAAGAGUAGGAGCUGCAGGAGGAGGUGGCAGAGGAAGAGGAGGUGCAGGGGGAGGAG